This 150-nucleotide ribosomal RNA is filed under the name uncultured eukaryote. Its description in RNAcentral is "partial small subunit ribosomal RNA". It matches the Rfam family "Eukaryotic small subunit ribosomal RNA", at positions 1651 to 1810 of the family's 1831-position model. The record is from RNAcentral.
CCCUGCCUUUUGUACACACCGCCCGUCGCACCUACCGAUUGAAUGGUCCGGUGAAACCCUCGGAUCGCGCACGGGCUCGCCCGCGCACGAGAAGUUGGUUGAACCUUACCAUUUAGAGGAAGGUGAAGUCGUAACAAGGUUUCCGUAGGU